Molecule: ribosomal RNA, 468 nt
Filed under: uncultured bacterium
Lineage: Bacteria
Description: partial 16S ribosomal RNA
Rfam family: Bacterial small subunit ribosomal RNA
Source: RNAcentral
GACGAACGCUGGCGGCGUGCUUAACACAUGCAAGUCGAACGGAAAGGGGCAGCUUGCUUGGGGUUCCCGAGUGGCGAACGGGUGAGUAACACGGGAGUAUCCUGCCCUUGGCUUUAGGAUAACUGCAGGAGACUGCGACUACUGCCUGAGACGAGCGCGUGCUACAGGGGGGGGGUCGGAAAGCUUGGGCGGUGGGGGCUGGACGUGCGGCUUAUCAGCUUGUGGGGUGGGUAGUGGCUUACCAGGUCUUUGGUGGGUAGCCGGCCUGAGAGGGUGACCGGCGACAUGGGGACUGAGAUAGGCAGCAGAGUCGUACGGGAGGCAGGGGUGGGAAAUAUUGCACAAUGGGCGGAAGCCUGAUGCAGCAGCGCUGCGUGCGGGAUGCCGGCCUUCGGGGUGUAAACGGCUGUCGGCUGAGACGAAGCGUGAGUGACGGUAAUGGGUAAAGAAGCACCGGCUAACUACGUG